RNAcentral lists this ribosomal RNA (465 nucleotides) under uncultured bacterium. RNAcentral describes it as "partial 16S ribosomal RNA". It matches the Rfam family "Bacterial small subunit ribosomal RNA", at positions 338 to 795 of the family's 1533-position model. The record is from RNAcentral.
CCUACGGGUGGCAGCAGUAGGGAAUCUUCCACAAUGGGCGAAAGCCUGAUGGAGCAACGCCGCGUGGGUGAAGAAGGUCUUCGGAUCGUAAAACUCUGUUGUUAGAGAAGAAAGUGUGUGUGAGUAACUGUUCACGUCUUGACGGUACCUAAUCAGAAAGCCACGGCUAACUACGUGCCAGCAGCCGCGGUAAUACGUAGGUGGCAAGCGUUAUCCGGAGUUAUUGGGCGUAAAGGGAACGCAGGCGGUCUUUUAAGUCUGAUGUGAAAGCCUACGGCUUAACCGGAGUAGUGCAUUGGAAACUGGAAGACUUGAGUGCAGAAGAGGAGAGUGGAACUCCAUGUGUAGCGGUGAAAUGCGUAGAUAUAUGGAAGAACACCAGUGGCGAAAGCGGCUCUCUGGUCUGUAACUGACGCUGAUGUUCGAAAGCGUGGGUAGCAAACAGGAUUAGAUACCCUUGUAGUC